CUGCACUGUCUUUGAACCUGGUUGGUCUCGUCCGUGACCUCUUAGGCCAAGCUACAAGUGCUAAAUCAAAUUCAGGCUUGCUCAUAACUGGAGCCUCCUGGCAGCACCACCAUGUUGCUCUUUUAAAUGCAAGUCACAGCU
Sebastes umbrosus (honeycomb rockfish) is the source of this 141-nucleotide small nucleolar RNA. NCBI's taxonomy places the organism in Eukaryota, Metazoa, Chordata, Actinopteri, Perciformes, Sebastidae. The record is from RefSeq and is a predicted model, not a curated record.